This 484-nucleotide ribosomal RNA is filed under the name Escherichia coli. Its description in RNAcentral is "bacterial SSU rRNA". It matches the Rfam family "Bacterial small subunit ribosomal RNA", at positions 1 to 474 of the family's 1533-position model. The record is from RNAcentral. Lineage: Bacteria; Pseudomonadati; Pseudomonadota; Gammaproteobacteria; Enterobacterales; Enterobacteriaceae.
AAAUUGAAGAGUUUGAUCAUGGCUCAGAUUGAACGCUGGCGGCAGGCCUAACACAUGCAAGUCGAACGGUAACAGAAAGCAGCUUGCUGCUUUGCUGACGAGUGGCGGACGGGUGAGUAAUGUCUGGGAAACUGCCUGAUGGAGGGGGAUAACUACUGGAAACGGUAGCUAAUACCGCAUAAUGUCGCAAGACCAAAGAGGGGGACCUUCGGGCCUCUUGCCAUCGGAUGUGCCCAGAUGGGAUUAGCUAGUAGGUGGGGUAACGGCUCACCUAGGCGACGAUCCCUAGCUGGUCUGAGAGGAUGACCAGCCACACUGGAACUGAGACACGGUCCAGACUCCUACGGGAGGCAGCAGUGGGGAAUAUUGCACAAUGGGCGCAAGCCUGAUGCAGCCAUGCCGCGUGUAUGAAGAAGGCCUUCGGGUUGUAAAGUACUUUCAGCGGGGAGGAAGGGAGUAAAGUUAAUACCUUUGCUCAUUGACG